This 93-nucleotide transfer RNA is filed under the name Infirmifilum uzonense. RNAcentral describes it as "Thermofilum uzonense tRNA". It matches the Rfam family "tRNA". Rfam says of the family: Transfer RNA (tRNA) molecules are approximately 80 nucleotides in length. Their secondary structure includes four short double-helical elements and three loops (D, anti-codon, and T loops). Further hydrogen bonds mediate the characteristic L-shaped molecular structure. tRNAs have two regions of fundamental functional importance: the anti-codon, which is responsible for specific mRNA codon recognition, and the 3' end, to which the tRNAs corresponding amino acid is attached (by aminoacyl-tRNA synthetases). tRNAs cope with the degeneracy of the genetic code in two manners: having more than one tRNA (with a specific anti-codon) for a particular amino acid; and 'wobble' base-pairing, i.e. permitting non-standard base-pairing at the 3rd anti-codon position. Lineage: Archaea; Thermoproteati; Thermoproteota; Thermoprotei; Thermofilales; Thermofilaceae. The record is from Rfam by way of RNAcentral.
GGGCCGGUAGCUCAGCUAGGUAGAGCGGCGGUCUCUAGUAAGAGGUCGAGGCUCCAGACCCGUAGGUCGGGGGUUCAAGUCCCUCCCGGCCCA